CUCACAUCGCCUUUCAAAUUUUACUAUUAUCGAAAUCAAAAAGAUCUUAAUAGGCCCUGAUAAAAAUAAUUCUGAGCUAGCUUCCGUUGCCUCAUCUAAAAAUCAUUCCUUUACAACCCUUUAGUGAACAAACAACUCAAAAAAUGAAAUAAAUUAUAAGUAUUAUUCCAUCAAGUUGUGCACGGAUAUCUUCAGUCUUCAAUAGAAAUUUCUAGCCGCAGCAAGCUUGGAUAAACAAGAAAUAAACUUAAUCCCGCUUCUGGUGGAUAUUAUUCUGUCCUAACCUAACUUAACUCAAUAUGUAUAUCGUUUGCAAAUUCGAUCCCUUCUACGUUGGACCUUGCCCUCCCGGAGUCUUGGUUCCCGCUGGUGGAUGCUGUGGUCCAUGUGGACCGUGUCGUGCAUGCUGUGGCGGCUGUUCGACUUCUUGCUGCGGCUGGUAGUCAUUUUAAAUUUUAACCUUUCGAACGCAGGAUUAGCUUUUUUACAAGAUAACCCUUGCAAAUUUUACAAUGACUGAAGAUAUGUAAAUGUGUAUACCAAAGACAACAAAAAUAAAAUUGUGACGUGUUUAUAAUGA
This is a long non-coding RNA of Drosophila sulfurigaster albostrigata, 580 nucleotides long. RefSeq lists it as uncharacterized. NCBI's taxonomy places the organism in Eukaryota, Metazoa, Arthropoda, Insecta, Diptera, Drosophilidae. The record is from RefSeq and is a predicted model, not a curated record. The transcript has 2 exons.